GCGCCUGUGGCCCAACCGGAUAGGGCAUCUGGCUUCGGACCAGAGGGUUGUGGGUUCGAAUCCUACCAGGCGCG
RNAcentral lists this transfer RNA (74 nucleotides) under Candidatus Omnitrophota bacterium. Its description in RNAcentral is "tRNA-Arg". It matches the Rfam family "tRNA". From Rfam's summary of the family: Transfer RNA (tRNA) molecules are approximately 80 nucleotides in length. Lineage: Bacteria; Pseudomonadati; Candidatus Omnitrophota. The record is from RNAcentral.